This is a long non-coding RNA of Hypanus sabinus (Atlantic stingray), 3683 nucleotides long. RefSeq lists it as uncharacterized. The record is from RefSeq and is a predicted model, not a curated record. NCBI's taxonomy places the organism in Eukaryota, Metazoa, Chordata, Chondrichthyes, Myliobatiformes, Dasyatidae. The transcript is spliced from 3 exons.
UACAGUUUCUUAGGGUUACGGGCACAGCACUUGCCAUGCCAAGCUGGAUAGGUGCUUUCUAUGGCGAUCGAUAAAAAUUGGCAUUUACAGUAGAACAAAAUGCAGUAGAAUCAAUGGAAAACUGCACACAAAGACUGACAAACAAGCAACAUGCAAAAGAAGAGAACCCAUGCAAAUUUUUAAAAGUAAAUAAAUAACACUGAAGAGUCCUUAAUAGUCCAUAGGUUGUGGAGUCAGUUCAUAGUUAAGAUAUACCGUGGAGAGCUGAAGAGACUGAUCGCCUCACAGCUUGGUCCAGAGCCUCUGGUGCACUGGAUCACAAGGCUGCACAGAACGGGCACAACUUUCUCCACCACUGAGGACAUCUUCAGUAGGUGAGGCAUUCAUCAUUCAGGGCUUUCAUCAUCUUGCAUGUGCCACCUUCUCAGUACCAGCAUCAGGGAAGAGGUACAGAAGCCUGAGCCCCAUUCAAUGAUUCGGAAAUAGCUCCUUUCCCUCUGCCAUCACAUUUCUGAAUAGUUGACGGACCCAUGACUUUUAUUUUCCACAUUUUAUUUUGUAAUUUAGAGUAAUUUAUGUCUGUUGCCUUAAAUUUCAUGUCAGAGUAAGUCAGUGAUAAACCAGAUUCUGAACUUAGAUACAUACUGUAUUGAAAUGAAUUCAAUCUACAACAUAGAAAACUGGAACUUUAGAGUGACUUAGACUGGAAGCUAUAAGUAAUGAUGUUACGUGCAAGAUACAGGAGGAACUCAGCAGGUCAGGCAGGAUUUUUGGACUUAUUUAGAAAUAGAAAACCUACAGCACAAUACAGGCCCUUCGGCUCACAAAGUUGUGCUGAACAUGUCUCUACCUUAGAAAUUACUAGGGUUACCUAUAGCCCUCUAUUUUUCUAAGCUCCAUGUACCUAUCCAAAAGUCUCUUAAAAGACCCUAUCGUAUCUGCCUCCUCCACCGUUAGCAGCAGACCAUUCCACUCACUCACCACUCUCUGAGUAAAAAACCUUACCCCUGACAUCUCCACUGUACCUACUCCCCAGGAUCUUAACUCUGUGUCCUCUUGUGGCAGCCAUUCCAGCCCUGGGAAAAAGCCUCUGACUAUCCACACGAUCAAUGCCUCUCAUCAUCUUGUACACCUUUAUGAGGUCACCUCUCAUCCUCCGUCACUCCAAAGAGAAAAGGCCAAGAUUACUCAACUUGUUUUCAUAAGGCACGCUCCCCAAUCCAGGCAACGUCCUUGUAAAUCUCCUCUGCACCCUUUCUAUGGUUUCCACAUCCUUCCUGUAGUGAGGCGACCAGAACUGAGCACAGUACUCCAAGUGGGGUCCUAAAUGGCUGCAACAUUACCUCUCAGCUCUUAAACUCAGUCCCACGAUUAAUGAAGGCCAAUGCUCCGUAUAUCUUCUUAACCAUAGAAUCAACCUGUGCAGCUGGUUUGAGCGAUCUCUGUACUCAGACCCCAAGAUCCCUCUGAUCCUCCACACUACCAAGAGUCUUACUAUUAAUACUAUAUUCUGCCAUCAUAUUUGACCUACCAAAAUAAACCACUUCAUUCUUAUUUGGGUUGAACACAAUCUGCCACUUCUCAGCCCAGUUUUGCAUCCUAUCAAUGUCCCGCUGUAACCUCUGACAGCCCUCCACACUAUCCACAACACCACCAACCUUUGUGUCAUCAGCAAACUUACUAACCCAUCCCUCCACUUCCUCAUCCAGGUCAUUUAUAAAACUCAUGAAGAAGAUGGUCCCGAUACAGAUCCCUGAGGCACACUCCACUGGUGACCGACCUCCAUGCAGACUAUGACCCACCUACAACCACUCUUUUCCCUCUGUGGGCAAGCCGAUUCUGGAUCCACAAAGCAAUGUCCCCUUGGAUCCCAUGCCUCCUUACUUUCUCAACAAGCCUUGCAUGGGGUACCUUAUCAAUUGCCUUGCUGAAAUCCAUAUACACUACAUCUACUGCUCUUCCUUCAUCAAUGUGUUUGGUCACAUCCUCAAAAAAAUUCAAUCAGGCUCAUAAGGCACGACCUGCCUUUGACAAAGCCAUGCUGACUACCGUAGAUUCCGGACUACAGAGCGCACCUGAUUAAAAGCCGCACGGUCUAAUUUUAGAAAGAAAAUCAAUUUUGUACUUGUACAAGCCACACCGGAUUUUAAGCCGCAGGUGUCCCACGUUGUAAUAUGAGAUAUUUACACAGAAAGAUAUUACACGUGAGGAUUUUUUAACUUUUAAUUAAAUCCGUAUGGUAACAUAAACAAAUACAUAUUGCAAAUGCUUUUUUUCGAACAGUGCCUGUAACACAGCUACUUUUAAAUAUACAUACGUAUUGGUAACACACAAAUUACGUUGCGUAUACUUUUUUACUGAACAGUGCAUGAACAACAUUCCAAUAUCUCCUAACGACUGGUAAAAAAAUAUAUAUACUGCAGCCUACCAGGAAAAGUUAUUGAUCGCCUUUAACUUAAAAGCUGCAUCAUAUGCUUUUCUUCGAGUGUUUUCCAUGUUGAUGAGGGUGAGUACAAAUGACUGAUUUACAAUAAUUUAAUUGUGAAAGUGCGCUUGAUUUAUCGUACAAUUUCAUUGGACCUCUGUGAACUACUCAUCAAUUUUAUUGGUCUUGCUAUGUUCCCAGCCCCCUCCUUGGUGAGAAUCGCAAGAGCACCCGUCGAAGGGGGUGUAGGAGAGAGAGAGAGAAAUGUGCCAAAUUGCACGUCCCACUCGGGAUACAGAAUUAAGACGACAGCGACUAUUGUCUCAUGGAGACCACGUGAAAAGCCCUCGGGCAAGGUGGGCUGGUUGAGAGAGAGAUUGCAUCAUCCCAACCUGAUUGACACCUGCGACCCCGUGAGGAAGUAUAAAGGAGAGUCUCAGGGGGGACAGCCCCCUCAGAUGCACCAAGAAGACACAAGAGUGUUCCCGCAGCAGCGGGAAGCCAUUCUGAAGGAAGCCACAUGCGUUAGAUUCUGGGAUUGGAAUUUGUGGCUGGAAUCACAGAAAACCGCUUUUAACUAACAUCGGGGAGAUGUUAACUAACAACGCUCCCCCGAUUUCACAGAAGAUUCAUCAAGACUCGGCAAGUUCUUUCUCUUCUCCCCCAAUCUCUCUCUCUCGGUCACCCCAUGUGAAACCCAGCGAUUUUCAAAGGGCUGAGGCCUGCAGACUUUCUGAGUGACUUUUAUAUUUCCAAAGGACAAUCUAUUAACCCCUAGACAACAGCAGAGCUCACUUAAUGAUGAGUAUUACUAUACCCGUGCUUUAGAUUGAGUGUUGAUGAUGUGCACUAUCUGAAUGUAUGUAUUAACCCUACUUUUGUGUCCCUUUAUAAAUAAAACGUUUGAAAAUAGUGACAUCAGACUUCAACGGACCUCUCUAUCUUUGCUGGUAAGUUCUCCAGUUACGGGAUUCAUAACAGUCUACUGUUACGAGGCAAAAUGUUUUUGGCGGCAUGAAAAAAAACAUGCAUUAGCCGCACCGUAGUAUAGGCCGCAGUGUUGCUGCAGUGUUCAAAGCGUGGGGAAAAAGUAGCGGCUUAUAGUCCGGAAUUUACGGUAUUCCUAAUCAUAUUAUGCCUCUCCAAAUGUUCAUAAAUCCUGCCUCUCAGGAUCUUCUCCAUCAACUUAUCAACCUCUGAAGUAAGAUACUGGUCUAUAAUUUCCUGGGCUAACUCUACUCCCUUUCUUGAAUAAGGG